RNAcentral lists this unclassified non-coding RNA (445 nucleotides) under Hevea brasiliensis (rubber tree). The record is from RNAcentral. Lineage: Eukaryota; Viridiplantae; Streptophyta; Magnoliopsida; Malpighiales; Euphorbiaceae.
UGAAGGUGCUCAGUUCCUUAAGUAUUCUUCUUGGUACUUGAAUGAGAUAAUCUCAAGUCCAAAGAUUGAAGUUGGUUCCGUAGGUUUUGGUUCUCCUCAAGUAAGCGAUCAUACUCCAGAAGGAAUCCUUCAGAUUGCUUCCUCAGAGCUGCUGCAUUAGCUUCUGAAGCAUGAACCUCUUUUGUUUUCACCUCCAGUUCUGAUUCUAGUUGCUUAAGUUUUGCUAGUAGUGUGGUCAUCUCUUUUUCCAGGACUUUGCUCUCCUCAACUUUUCCAUCCUCAAUAACUCGAUUUUGUUUCUUCACAGCAUCCAUGCUCUUCCGCCGUAUACGGAGUUCUUUGAUAUAAUGGUGCAGUCUGUCCAUCGAUAGUGCAAGGAAGAGAGAGGAUCCCAUGAGAGUGGCCUCAAGAAGGUGCUUGGCCAUGAGAACCUGGUCCGUUGGAU